RNAcentral lists this ribosomal RNA (373 nucleotides) under uncultured organism. Its description in RNAcentral is "partial 16S ribosomal RNA". It matches the Rfam family "Bacterial small subunit ribosomal RNA", at positions 527 to 896 of the family's 1533-position model. The record is from RNAcentral.
GUAGGUGGCAAGCGUUGUCCGGAAUUAUUGGGCGUAAAGCGCGCGCAGGCGGUUCUUUAAGUCUGAUGUGAAAGCCCACGGCUCAACCGUGGAGGGUCAUUGGAAACUGGAGAACUUGAGUACAGAAGAGGAAAGCGGAAUUCCACGUGUAGCGGUGAAAUGCGUAGAGAUGUGGAGGAACACCAGUGGCGAAGGCGGCUUUCUGGUCUGUAACUGACGCUGAGGCGCGAAAGCGUGGGGAGCAAACAGGAUUAGAUACCCUGGUAGUCCACGCCGUAAACGAUGAGUGCUAAGUGUUAGGGGGGUUUUCCGCCCCCCUUAGUGCUGCAGCUAACGCAUUAAGCACUCCGCCUGGGAGUACGGCCGCAGGCUG